RNAcentral lists this long non-coding RNA (234 nucleotides) under Physcomitrium patens. RNAcentral's name for it is "long non-coding RNA (PPAT_LNC005097)". The record is from RNAcentral. Lineage: Eukaryota; Viridiplantae; Streptophyta; Bryopsida; Funariales; Funariaceae.
CAAUUACAUGAUAAAAAUAUAAAUAAAAAAGAUAUUAUUAAUAUUUAGUCAUCUUGGAUGUUAGAAAUAGUGGCCAAUUUUAGUGCCAAUAUUUAAGAUCAGUUAAUGUCACCUCACCAACGUCAUCAAACCAAGUACCCUCUGUACCAAUGGGACAACUAGGAUCAUUUUCCAACCCUACAUGGAACAAGCCUAGUAGGUAUAUACCGGUGGAGACAUCCAAUAGGCAUGAUG